Molecule: non-coding RNA, 388 nt
Organism: Cinara cedri
Lineage: Eukaryota; Metazoa; Arthropoda; Insecta; Hemiptera; Aphididae
Source: the annotation of a GenBank genome assembly
UUUAUGGACGGUUUUACGCAAGGUGUAAUUUACGUGCACCGAUUUUAAACUGUUAAUUUUUAUCUUCCAACGUUUCGUCCAGUUGGAAACGUUGUUGAUAGACCUUUGAAGCCAAUCAGUCGCAGUGUGCUGGUCUUCAUUUUUUGUCAUUAUUGCCGUGUCAUCAGCAAACAUGGCUGUCAUUGAAUAGUUGUUGGUUGGUCCGCUAUGUAGAGUAAGUACAGAAUUGGUCCAAAGACGUUUUUCUGUUGUACACCUGCCGAUAUGUUUUUCCAAUCAUUUAAUGCUUCUUCAUGAAUGACCCUGAAUUGACAUUCAGUCAGGUAGGAUUCGAAAAGUGCGCACUAGGUGUGUGGCAGCUGUUCACGUUGUUUUAUAAGUAAUCCUU